UCCACGGAAGUUUUCAGAGAUGAGAAUGUGCCUUCGGGAACCGUGAGACAGGUGCUGCAUGGCUGUCGUCAGCUCGUGUUGUGAAAUGUUGGGUUAAGUCCCGCAACGAGCGCAACCCUUAUCCUUUGUUGCCAGCGGUCCGGCCGGGAACUCAAAGGAGACUGCCAGUGAUAAACUGGAGGAAGGUGGGGAUGACGUCAAGUCAUCAUGGCCCUUACGACCAGGGCUACACACGUGCUACAAUGGCGCAUACAAAGAGAAGCGACCUCGCGAGAGCAAGCGGACCUCAUAAAGUGCGUCGUAGUCCGGAUUGGAGUCUGCAACUCGACUCCAUGAAGUCGGAAUCGCUAGUAAUCGUGGAUCAGAAUGCCACGGUGAAUACGUUCCCGGGCCUUGUACACACCGCCCGUCACACCAUGGGAGUGGGUUGCAAAAGAAGUAGGUAGCUUAACCUUCGGGAGGGCGCUUACCACUUUGUGAUUCAUGACUGGGGUGAAGUCGUAACAAGGUAAGCGUAGAUGA
RNAcentral lists this ribosomal RNA (522 nucleotides) under uncultured bacterium. Its description in RNAcentral is "bacterial SSU rRNA". It matches the Rfam family "Bacterial small subunit ribosomal RNA", at positions 987 to 1509 of the family's 1533-position model. The record is from RNAcentral.